UGUAUGUAUAUGGUAGUUUUGAAGUUUUUUGUUACUUAGUUUUGAAGUAAUUUUAUGGCAUAUCCUCCCAUUCCACUGCCUUAUACAACCAAUCGACCUUGAUCAUUUUUGGUAUGACUAUUGAUGUGAGGAGUAAUUAGAGGACACACAAUCAGAGAAACGGAGAUGAAGGCAAACAAACCUGCCUCCAGGACCGCUGCACACAGUAUCACUGUCCUCACUACAGAGACAGAGAGAGCGGAACUCACUUCCGACACCGGCGAUCCCCUGAGUUUUUUUUUUUAUCUGCCAUGUGAAACUACAAACCUGUCAAAGUCAGGACUUCCUACAAUUCAACUUUCAAGGACAAAUGGCGAGCAGAGAGGAUCCGACAGCAGGGGAUCAUUUCCCGAGUCCUGCCACACUUCCCACAAAGUCUCAGGGGAGGAGUGGGUCAAAAGAUCAAAUCAUUGUCUUGUUUCCACAGCUCCACCCUUUAACUGUCUCCGAACCUUCAUUUUGGUUUGGCUUUUAAACAUUUUAGAGCCAAAGUUGAGCUGUUGAAUGCAGAGCUGCAGAGCUGACAGAGGUCUGCAAUUAGACUGGUGUGACUUAUAAACAUUCACCUUUGCAAGAUGCUCUAAAUAGCACAGAGGAACUGCUGCUGAGAGACCUGCACUUAGAGUGGCUCAGAAUCAACCUCAGACAGCCACCGGAAAGAGAUGUGAAAUCUCAGCAAGAACAAGCAAGCAACUGGGGAUGCUUCAGGUUGGAAUGUUUACCAGCUCCAAAUACUGCCAGAAGGUGGCACCAAUGCACCAUAAGGAUGCUGUUCGAUCCAAACAAAAGAGCAGGAAGUUGGAGCAGGCAGACACAGAGCCGGCUCACUUCCUCUCCUCUACCAUUCCCCAGGCACUCUGCCGUCUGUGUAAACACACACACUUUUCCUGCAGUCCCUCCUCCUCCGUCUCCUCCUUCUUCACAU
Molecule: long non-coding RNA, 964 nt
Organism: Cynoglossus semilaevis (tongue sole)
Lineage: Eukaryota; Metazoa; Chordata; Actinopteri; Pleuronectiformes; Cynoglossidae
Exons: 3
Source: RefSeq, a predicted model, not a curated record